CAGCCGCCGCGGGAAUACGAAGAGGGCUAGCGUUGCUCGGAAUUACUGGGCGUAAAGGCGCGUAGGCGGACAGUUUAGUCGGGGGUGAAAGCCCGGGGCUCAACCUCGGAAUUGCCUUCGAUACUGGCUGUCUUGAGUGUGAGAGAGGUGUGUGGAACUCCGAGUGUAGAGGUGAAAUUCGUAGAUAUUCGGAAGAACACCAGUGGCGAAGGCGACACACUGGCUCACUACUGACGCUGAGGCGCGAAAGCGUGGGGAGCAAACAGGAUUAGAGACCCGUGUAGUCCCUGUCUCUUAUACC
Molecule: ribosomal RNA, 301 nt
Filed under: uncultured bacterium
Lineage: Bacteria
Description: partial 16S ribosomal RNA
Rfam family: Bacterial small subunit ribosomal RNA
Source: RNAcentral